AAACUUUCAACAACGGAUCUCUUGGUUCUGGCAUCGAUGAAGAACGCAGCCGAAAUGCGAUAAGUAAUGUGAAUUGCCAGAAUUCACUGAAUCAUCGAAUCUUUGAACGCACAUUGCGCCGGUCAGAUAUUCUGGCGRGCAUGCCUGUUCGGGGGUGAUUA
RNAcentral lists this ribosomal RNA (161 nucleotides) under Metarhizium acridum. Its description in RNAcentral is "5.8S ribosomal RNA". It matches the Rfam family "5.8S ribosomal RNA". Rfam says of the family: 5.8S ribosomal RNA (5.8S rRNA) is a component of the large subunit of the eukaryotic ribosome. It is transcribed by RNA polymerase I as part of the 45S precursor that also contains 18S and 28S rRNA. The record is from RNAcentral. Lineage: Eukaryota; Fungi; Ascomycota; Sordariomycetes; Hypocreales; Clavicipitaceae.